ACCAAACAGCUAGCUUAUCCACCAACACAACUAAACAACAUAAAUAAAAUAAAAUUAACCACACACCAUAAAAUAAAUCAUUCUUUUACCUGAGUAUGGGAGACAGAAAAGGUUUAACCCAAAGCAAUAGAAACAGUACCGUAAGGGAAAGCUGAAAGAGAAAUGAAAUAACCUAUAUAAGCACUAAAAAACAAAGACUAAACCUUGUACCUUUUGCAUCAUGAUUUAGCUAGUAAAUAUCAAGCAAAGAGACCUUUAGUUUGAUACCCCGAAACCAAGUGAGCUACCCCGAGACAACUAUUAGAGCCAACCCGUCUCUGUGGCAAAAGAGUGGGAAGAACUCCGGGUAGAAGUGACAGACCUACCGAACUUGGUGAUAGCUGGUUACCUAGGAAACGAAUAGAAGUUCAGCCUCAUAUACCCUUAAACCAAAUAAUAUACCUCAAUUAAGAUAUUAAAGAUAUAUAUGAGAGUUAGUUAAAGGGGGUACAGCCCCUUUAACAAAGGAUACAACCUUAUUUAGAAGGAUAAAGAUCAUAGUACAUAAAAUAUACUGUUCUAGUGGGCCUAAAAGCAGCCAUCUAAACAGAAAGCGUUAAAGCUCAGACAGAAAUAAAUUUAUUAUUCCGAUAAAAUAUCUCAUUCCCCUAAAAACUACUAGGCUAAUCCAUGCCCACAUGGAAGAAAUCAUGCUAAAAUGAGUAACAAGAAGGACCACCCUUCUCCUAAGCAUAAGUGUAAACCAAACCGGACCAACCAUUGGUAAUCAACGAACUCAACUCAAAGAGAGUAGUGUGACAUAUAAUAAAAUACAAGAAAAAUACACAACCAAUAAUCGUUAACCCCACACUGGAGUGCUAUCUUAAAGGAAAGACUAAAAGAAAAGGAAGGAACUCGGCAAAUACUAAGCCUCGCCUGUUUACCAAAAACAUCGCCUCCUGGAACAACUAAAUAUAGGAGGUCCAGCCUGCCCAGUGACUACAAGUUCAACGGCCGCGGUAUUUUGACCGUGCAAAGGUAGCGCAAUCACUUGUCUUUUAAAUAGAGACCUGUAUGAAUGGCUAAACGAGGGCUUAACUGUCUCCCAUUUCCAGUCAGUGAAAUUGAUCUGCCCGUGCAGAAGCGGACAUAAUAAUACAAGACGAGAAGACCCUUUGGAGCUUAAGGUACAAAAUACAACCACGCCAAACGACUCAUUAAAAAGCAAAAACUUCGUGGAAUAUGUAACUUUACCUUCGGUUGGGGCGACCACGGAGGAUAAACAAGCCUCCAAGUGGACUGGGAUAAAUUUUCCUAAAACCAAGAGAGACAUCUCUAAGCCACAGAACAUCUGACCAAAUAUGAUCCGGCCACUAAAGGCCGAUCAACGAACCAAGUUACCCUAGGGAUAACAGCGCAAUCCUCUCCCAGAGUCCAUAUCGACGAGGGGGUUUACGACCUCGAUGUUGGAUCAGGACAUCCUAAUGGUGCAGCCGCUAUUAAGGGUUCGUUUGUUCAACGAUUAAAGUCCUACGUGAUCUGAGUUCAGACCGGAGCAAUCCAGGUCAGUUUCUAUCUGUAACGCCACUUUUCCUAGUACGAAAGGAUCGGAAAAGAGGGGCCCAUGCCAAAAGCACGCCCCACCCCUAAUUUACGAAAACAAAUAAAUAAAGCAACGGGAGAGCCAAAACCCCAGUUAGCCAAAAUAAGGACAU
Molecule: ribosomal RNA, 1694 nt
Filed under: Osteochilus salsburyi
Lineage: Eukaryota; Metazoa; Chordata; Actinopteri; Cypriniformes; Cyprinidae
Description: 16S rRNA
Rfam family: Bacterial large subunit ribosomal RNA
Source: RNAcentral